Molecule: ribosomal RNA, 253 nt
Filed under: uncultured bacterium
Lineage: Bacteria
Description: partial 16S ribosomal RNA
Rfam family: Bacterial small subunit ribosomal RNA
Source: RNAcentral
GACAGAGGUCCCGAGCGUUAGGCGGAAUCACUGGGCUUAAAGCGUGUGUAGGCGGCGGCCUAAGUACCUUGUGAAAUCCCACGGCUCACCCGUGGAACUGCUCGGUAUACUGGGUCGCUUGAGCCACUUAGGGGCUACCGGAACAAAUGGUGGAGCGGUGAAAUGCGUAGAUAUCGGGAGGAACACCAGUGGCGAAGGCGAUCAUCUGGGGUUGUUCUGACACUGAGGAGCGAAAGCUAGGGGAGCAAACGGG